AGUGAACGCUGGCGGUAGGCCUAACACAUGCAAGUCGAACGGCAGCACAGUAAGAGCUUGCUCUUACGGGUGGCGAGUGGCGGACGGGUGAGGAAUACAUCGGAAUCUACUUUUUCGUGGGGGAUAACGUAGGGAAACUUACGCUAAUACCGCAUACGACCUACGGGUGAAAGCAGGGGAUCUUCGGACCUUGCGCGAUUGAAUGAGCCGAUGUCGGAUUAGCUAGUUGGCGGGGUAAAGGCCCACCAAGGCGACGAUCCGUAGCUGGUCUGAGAGGAUGAUCAGCCACACUGGAACUGAGACACGGUCCAGACUCCUACGGGAGGCAGCAGUGGGGAAUAUUGGAUAAUGGGCACAAGCCUGAUCCAGCCAUACCGCGUGGGUGAAGAAGGCCUUCGGGUUGUAAAGCCCUUUUGUUGGGAAAGAAAAGCAGCAGGUUAAUACCCCGCUGUUCUGACGGUACCCAAAGAACAAGCACCGGCUAACUUCGUG
This 492-nucleotide ribosomal RNA is filed under the name uncultured bacterium. RNAcentral describes it as "partial 16S ribosomal RNA". It matches the Rfam family "Bacterial small subunit ribosomal RNA", at positions 29 to 507 of the family's 1533-position model. The record is from RNAcentral.